UUGCUGGCGACCGGCGCACGGGUGAGUAACACGUAUCCAACCUGCCGAUAACUCGGGGAUAGCCUUUCGAAAGAAAGAUUAAUACCCGAUGGCAUAAUUAGACCGCAUGGUUUGAUUAUUAAAGAAUUUCGGUUAUCGAUGGGGAUGCGUUCCAUUAGGCAGUUGGUGAGGUAACGGCUCACCAAACCUUCGAUGGAUAGGGGUUCUGAGAGGAAGGCCCCCCACAUUGGAACUGAGACACGGUCCAA
Molecule: ribosomal RNA, 248 nt
Filed under: uncultured bacterium
Lineage: Bacteria
Description: partial 16S ribosomal RNA
Rfam family: Bacterial small subunit ribosomal RNA
Source: RNAcentral